Molecule: ribosomal RNA, 597 nt
Filed under: uncultured bacterium
Lineage: Bacteria
Description: bacterial SSU rRNA
Rfam family: Bacterial small subunit ribosomal RNA
Source: RNAcentral
AGAGUUUGAUCCUGGCUCAGGACGAACGCUGGCGGCGUGCCUAACACAUGCAAGUCGAACGGAGUAUUCAGCAAUGGAUACUUAGUGGCGAACGGGUGAGUAACGCGUAGACAACCUGCCUCUCAAUUGGGGACAACACCGCGAAAGUGGUGCUAAUACCGAAUGUGGUAUCUUCGUUGCAUGACGGAGAUAAGAAAGAUGGCCUCUCUAUAGAAGCUAUCGUUGAGAGAUGGGUCUGCGUCUGAUUAGCUAGUUGGUGAGGUAAUGGCUCACCAAGGCGACGAUCAGUAGCCGGUCUGAGAGGAUGAACGGCCACACUGGGACUGAGACACGGCCCAGACUCCUACGGGAGGCAGCAGUGGGGAAUCUUCCGCAAUGGACGAAAGUCUGACGGAGCAACGCCGCGUGAGUGAAGAAGGCCUUCGGGUCGUAAAGCUCUGUCGUUUGGGACGAACGUAUCAUGUGUGAAUAAUGCAUGGUAAUGACGGUACCAAAGGAGGAAGCCACGGCUAACUACGUGCCAGCAGCCGCGGUAAUACGUAGGUGGCAAGCGUUGUCCGGAAUUAUUGGGCGUAAAGGGCGUGUAGGUGGCCUGUU